CAGUAUCACUGUCUCAUAUUGGGGAUCCAGCCAGAAAACGUUUAUAAAAAUCCAAUGCCUCUUGUGGUUUGUAUUCUGGAACAGUAUGUCCAGCUCCCUGUACCAAUGCAAUCAAAUAAAUAUUUUCAGGGCUUGAACCAGGUACAUCCGAAGCUAAGACUUGUUUUUUCACAGAUUAAACCAACUCCUUGGAAUUCUUAACUAGUAUUAUCUUUGGUUUUCAUAUUCUAUUUAUUUUUUCAUGAUUUGUUUUCCAAUUUAAUCAGGAUUCAUUAAUAAGAAACCGGUAUUAGUAUUAAAAAAAGUCAACAAUUAGCAUAAAUAAGAGCUAAUGCUAAUCUUUUAUAAUUGGAAAAUGCUAGAUAUCAAGAAUGAUUUUAUAAGAAAGAUCCAAGAAUGACAUAGCACAAUAAUCACCUUUAGAUUUCAGUCUCAUUUAUUAAUCUUUCAUAAAAAAAAAUACAUAACACCCACUACCCCAUGAUUUCCGGCCAGGAUGAGAUUUUAUUGGCUAACAUUAAUUUCAAGACUAUUUCUUGAUAAAAUUUAAGGGUGAUUAUUCUGCCAUGUCAUUCUUGAAAUUUUUUUGAUAAAAUCUUUCUUGAUAUAUAGCAUUGCUCUUUAUAAUUAAGCAUGGUCCUAAUUCAAAGUCUUUAUACUUUCUCUGUCUCCUCCUUAGCUCCUUUUAAUUCUUAUGCUCUCAAAUGCCGUAAUCCACACACACACACGCAAUACAUACCUUUAUGGUCAGAAAAGUAAGAUUAUGGUCAUAUCCUUGAGUAUACCUGCAGCAAAUAAAAGUAAUUAACUCAAUUUCUAACCAAGAUUGGUAUUUUAUACUAAAUAUACAUUGUGAAAAAAGUUUACAGAAAUGAUACUUGGACCCACAAAUAUGACAACAACAAUUUGGAUGGUUAACUUAACACCGUCUAGAUAUGUGGUUAAUUACGUUUAGUGCAUGGCUGAUUAGCAUAGUGUCAAAACUCAUUAAUUAUCCGCUGAAUGUAAUUAACCAUGAUAUUUACAUGUUCAAAUAUAAAUGAAAUCUAUUAUAACCAUCCAAAGUAUGUUUUAUACAUGAUUUUCAGGUUUUUUAAAUAUAUGAUAUUGAUUAAUCACAAUUUGUGUUCAAAUAUACAUCUGAAAAUCAUGAGUGAUAACAUUGCGCCAUUGGGCAAUGGUUGAACCAUGAAAAAUAACGACUGUGAAAAAUGCAUCCAAAAGCAGAACCCUGUCAGCCGCAAUGGCUGCGACAUCGAGAAGAGCAGGCUCAGGACCAGAAUGGAAUGAAUAAAUCAAUGAAGGCUGAACCAUGACGACAGAGUUAGUAACAUUUUCCCGGUUUAAAAUCAUUCUAGAGUAAGCAGUCUCGUCUGGGCUGUUGUUGAAGACCUACAAUUAUAUAAUUAAUGGAAAAAAUAAAUACUCUGCAAGUAGAAAUAUAGCAGCACGAAAUAUCAACAAUGAAAAACUUUAUAAGAGGUCUGAAAACACAAAACGAAUACCUGAACAAACUGAGAACGUCGUAAGUGAAACAUAAAUUGUGGGAAUAUUGACAACCUGGGAGACAAACUAAAUGAAGAUGGGGUUUCUUUUUGAAAAUCUCCGAGACAGGAACACAAAUUUAUCAAUGCCUUGUCCAACCAUCUGAUAGGAUCAAAUUCAGCCUGAUACAGAAAUUGCACCAUCACAGGGUGUCAAAACAACGACAUUUUUCAUAAGCAGGCACAAAAAACAUAUCAAGCUAUUCAGUGAGAGAGAAAAGCAGGUCCACAGUUCUCACAACUAUGGAUGUGUCAUAAACAAACUGGCAAAGAAUACUUCUGUGUCAAUGUACUAGUCAACAAUUCAACAAUAUAAUACAAAAGUGUAAUCUGUAAUGGGUUCUGAUUCACUGAAUUCCAUUAUUCAUGUUCCACUGGAAUAAUCAAUUUACAGAAGAAUAAUCCAUAAUAAUCCAAGUAAGAGAAAUGGUGCAGAAAAAGUGUGUGUGUGUGUGUGUGAGUGUGCGCGCGCAAGCGUGCGUGUGUGUGUGUGUGUAGAGAGAGAGCCUUUUUAAAAUUAUUCUUAACUGGUGUAUGAAAAUAAACUUCUGCAAGAGAAACAAAAACCAAUGACUUGGAUUAUAUACAGCUAAAUACAUGUCGAACAGGCUAAGAUACAAUUAUCCAAAAUACAAUUAAAAAGAAGCAGAAAAUAUCCAGCACUCACCUCCGUUUCCAUUUGUGAAAGACACUUGGCGUGCCAUGACUAUAGCAGCUGCUUCUUGGUCAAAUCCAGAAAUCAAAUCCUACAAAAUUUUACAUAUAACUGAUAUAAAACAUUGAUGAAUUCCAGAAAAUGAAUUUAAUGAUGAAUUUAUUAAAAACAAGUGGGAAAAAAAUUGUAAUUACAGUAAUGAAUAGAGUGAUCAUGUUACUAGAUAAAUCAUAUCAUACUAUCGUUAACUAAUUGUAAAAGUUAAUGAACAUAAAACUAGCAUUGGUCAUUAUCCAAACACAAUAAACAUAAAACUCCAAUUCAACAAAGAAAUGAGUAAAAUAAAAAGGGCAAUUAAAGAAAAAUUGUGUAUAAAUAACCCAAAAUAAGCUCAAAAUGAUGUCUCUAUCAAUUUUCCUGAACUACUGAUAAAUAUGCAAUUGAAUAAAAAGGGCAAUUAAGGUGGCUGUUGAUAUCAUUAUUAUUUGCUUUUUAUCCUACUAUGUUAACAGGAAAUAGUCCUUCAGUAAUUAGAAAUAGAAUCCUACUAUAAUGGUUGUCGACUAUGAAGCACGGAUACGGACACGGACACCGGACACGACAUGGACACGACACGCCGACACAGCUAAUUUUUUUAGAAAAUCACAAAAUGCAGUGUAAUUAUAUGUGUCGGUGUCGUGUCGGUGUCAGACACGACACAUGUCUGACACGGGGACACGCCUUAUCCAAGGAGUGUCCGUGCUUCAUAGGUUGUCGACUACUCACCGUGUAUAUACCAUUUAACUGGUUUCAUGUUCUAGACCACCUUCGACAAUGUUUAAAAUUACGUCUGAUCAACUCCAAAAUCAUCUUAUAGUCUGCCGUCUAUCUUUUUUCCUCAUUCCUUAACCCUAAAAUCUGGUACACAAAUGUAACUGGUACUGCUCACCGAAUAUAAAUGAGUCGUAUCUUAUCUAACAAUAAUAAAUUUGUGCAUACAAUAGAUUGUCCCCAUUAAUCAGGUGAGAAUUGUUUGGUAAAAUUAGCUCUUGAAGUGACUAUAGAUAUAAAAUGACAUAAAAGGACAUACUUGUUUAAUUUUUUUUAAUAUCAUAUAUAUAUUUUUAUUACUUAACACAUUUAUUUUUAAAUAUUUAAAUAUAUUUUAAAUUAUUUUCAUCUCCAAAAUAAUAAAUGUAUUUAUGAAUUCAAUCGAAUUUUCUUAUUUGACAAUUUUUAUUUUAUUUUUAUGAAUUUUAUUUAACUAAAUUUGCUUCACUAUUAUAAAUUUUAUAUAAAAUUAUAUAUUAUACGAAUUAUGAGCAAAGUAAAAAAAAACAAAAAAGUGGACAAGAAAAUUUAAAAAGCCAUGCAUGGUAAACAUGGUUAGUUCAAGAAGAUAGUGAGUAGUUUUUUUUUAUUAUAAUAAAAUAAAAUAUAAUUAAGAAAAGGUUAAAAUGGGAAGAAAGUAUAAAAAGCUAGAAGCUAUAAGCUAAAAAGCUACUUAGAUUAGCUUCUUAAAAAACGCUAUAAGCUAGUGAGAAAAGCUUUUUACCAAACACAUCUCAUUUUAUCAAAACAAGCUUAUAAGCUAGUCCAACAAGCUAUAAGCUAGCUUUUUUGUGUUACCAAACACAGCCUAAGUUGGGGCAAUGUAUUUAGUGGUGCAAACUAAGGCUCCGUUUGAUAAAAAUAAGCUAGAAGCUAGCUGAUAGCUUAUAGCUGAAAAGCUUGCUUAUUAAAAAUAAUGUGUUUGGUAAAAUUAGCUGUUGAAGUGACUGAUAAGUAUAAAAUAACAUAAAAGGACAUUUUUUUUUUUAAUAUACAUAUAGACACACACAUUUUUUUGUAAUGUAUUUAUUUUUUAAUAUUUUUAAUUAUAGUUAAAUAUGUUUUUGGUCCUAUAAAUAUUCAAACUUUUGGUCUUAANAACAGUUGAGUUUGGUGAGUUCCUCAAGGAUCCUGAUAAAUUCUUCAUGAAGAUGUUUCCUGAUAGGUUUGAGAUGAGUCUUGGUUUGACAUUGGUAGAUUUUCUAUCAAAAAACAGUUAUGAUGAAGUGUACUUGUUGAGAUGUCAACCAUCACAUGGUUGGAUAGACAAUGAAAUUGUUCUCAACAGAUUUGCUGAGUUCAAAGAAGAACUUAAGGAGAUUCAGAUAAGGGUUUUUGCAAAGAAACAAAGAUCCAAAGCUUAAGAAUAGGCGCGGCCUUGCAAAAAUUGAUCACAAUAUUUUGUAUCCUAAGAUGCCUAGUUCUGGAUCAAGAAGAUGGAAUCAUGGGAAGAGGAGUGUCUUAUAACAUAUCAAGUUAAUUUGUUCAUAGAAUUUGUGUUCACUAACUCUGCAUGCCAUUAGUAAUAUGUAAUCUCUCACUCUCUUUUCUUAUUUUUGUCUUUAACUCUCCUUUCCUCGGACAAGAGAGCCAUGAUAGUUUGGAGUCCGCCCAAAAAGUAAGUAAACUUUGGCCAAUGAUUAAUCCAGCCAGUAUUCGUACUUGAAUUCUCCCUGAGCGAUUGUAGUUAUAUGUAUGUGUUAAACUCUAACUCUUAACAAAUAGUUCUAACCAUCAUGGAAAAAUUUAUCAAAAAUCCAAUUUUCAAAACACCACAUAUGUGAUAAAAUUGAACAAUAUCCUAAAACAAUAUAUUCAAUUAGUAUAUUAUUAAGAUAAUCAUGCGACAAACCAUCUAAAACAAUGCAUGGUUGUUAACUAUUCAAAAUGUAAUGCCUAAUGAUAGAACCAACAACUGUCACUAUCAAAUUUAAGCUUAUUUUUGCACUGGCCUAAAUUUUUGUUUUGGUUAAAUACCGUAGACAGAUUUGCAUUUGGUCAUUUACUGUGCCAUGCAGUUUUACAUCUCAACCGUCCAAUCUCAAAUUAUCGAUCGAGAUUUAUUUAAGAUGAUUUGUUAUUGUAUAUUCUGAACCGUCCAAUCUCAAAUCGAUGAAAAAAAGUCUAUUAAUCUAAUUGCCAUAACCUUACUUCAAACAUGAAAAUUUGGAAACAUUUAAAUCUAGCAGUAAUAUAAUGUCAACAUAUACAUAUACCCACAAAUCAUCUAUAUAGUUCAUGGAAUAUCCAUAGCAGUAUCACUGUCUCUCAUAUUGGGGAUCCAGCCAGAAAACGUUUAUAAAAAUCCAAUGCCUCUUGUGGUUUGUAUUCUGGAACAGUAUGUCCAGCUCCCUGUACCAAUGCAAUCAAAUAAAUAUUUUCAGGGCUUGAACCAGGUACAUCCGAAGCUAAGACUUGUUUUUUCACAGAUUAAACCAACUCCUUGGAAUUCUUAACUAGUAUUAUCUUUGGUUUUCAUAUUCUAUUUAUUUUUUCAUGAUUUGUUUUCCAAUUUAAUCAGGAUUCAUUAAUAAGAAACC
RNAcentral lists this long non-coding RNA (5549 nucleotides) under Medicago truncatula (barrel medic). RNAcentral's name for it is "long non-coding RNA (MTRU_LNC004179)". Lineage: Eukaryota; Viridiplantae; Streptophyta; Magnoliopsida; Fabales; Fabaceae. The record is from RNAcentral.